GUUUUUGGGUAGACGCAACUAGGUCACAAGAAAUACCGUUUUUGAAAGUGAAGGAAAUGCGGACAAUGAAAAAAUCCCAAUCUUUUGUGUACGUCCUCGAUUUCUUACAAUCGGAACUUUCUCCGAAUAAAAAAGGGGGGCCCCGACCGUGAGAAGCGGGUUUUUUUACGGCCUACUCCCGGCAGUUACUUUCGCUUUUCCCCGUGCCCGUCACACAUACCCUUCGAUAGCCAAGCUCCACCAUUGGCCGCUGGGUGCUCUACGAACAUGCCGCUGUCGGCUCGGACCGAUCACCGGCUACCCGGGGGUUGCUGGCGACCGGAUUUUUUUCGACCCCACCCCCACGUGGUCCAGACAUGGCACGCGGAGCUCAGCUCAGAGAAACAGCUGCGAUACCAAAGAAUGUUGGCAGCCCAGAAUAUUUGAAGGUCAACCGAUAUAUGACUUGAAUACAAUAUUUGAACAACAUUCGAAAUUAAUAUUCAAAACAAUUUUGCUUUCUGGUUUCUGAAAUUAUCUGAAACAGAGGGCUGGUUUCAUCUUCCUUAGCAUCCGCCAAGAAUAACGGAAUGUAUGAUUGACUUCUUAGAAAGAUGAAGAAGUGUCCUGAGAGAAGAAAAUAAAAUCUUAUUUAACCUUACCAAAUAAGGUUCAGAGUUCGUACCUUUUACGUAAUUGUAUUCGUAUUCGUAAUUGUACACACCUUCUUUAGUAAAAAGUUGUCACAGUCUGAGUACCAUUUCGAACCAGUGAAAUAUCUUUCUUUCAUUCAAAUUAUUAUGAGAACAUACAUUCUAAAAUAAACCCCAUUGUAGCACUAUAUAAAUUACAGUCAGAAGAGUUUUGUAUUUUUCGUACCUAGGAGACUUGAAAAUGACUUUCUGUUUUUAUUUAAAUGUAAACAGGAUCUUGUAUUUUUUCUGUAAAACUUAUAAGAACAAGUUAUGUAAAAUAUUAAUUGAACAUUUUCGCGAGUAUUAAUACUGGCGAACCGGUUGGUCGCCAAAAGCGGAUAGUUUUUAAUAAAAAUCAGCUUUUCUUCUGUUGAGAAUAAUGUGCACCAAUACAUUUUGAGGACAGGAUUCUUAAAAUAAAUAAUUGAUAAUAUAUAUAAAUUAAUACUUUUGCUUACAAUGCCUUUUCAUUCGUUAGAAGGGAUGAAUUUUGAUGGCAAGAAAUUUAUAGAAACCCUAAGCAUCUCUAGAAUUUUUAUACAGAUCAAGAGAAAUAGAAAUUCCUAAAGUAGAACA
Long non-coding RNA from Argiope bruennichi, 1250 nucleotides. RefSeq lists it as uncharacterized. The record is from RefSeq and is a predicted model, not a curated record. Lineage: Eukaryota; Metazoa; Arthropoda; Arachnida; Araneae; Araneidae. The transcript has 4 exons.